Molecule: unclassified non-coding RNA, 284 nt
Filed under: Hevea brasiliensis (rubber tree)
Lineage: Eukaryota; Viridiplantae; Streptophyta; Magnoliopsida; Malpighiales; Euphorbiaceae
Source: RNAcentral
ACCUUAUCCAGUUAUUCUUCAAACGCCUUGAUGCACUAGGUUUCAGUAACAAGCAGCACUUUCAGCAAGUGGGCCGGUCUCUUUUCUGCCUGGGUUUGUUAAUACGUUACAGUAGCUCAUUAUUGCAUGCAUCUGUUUCCAGUAACAACUUACAUGUUUCUAGCAGCCUCAACCUAUUUAAGAAAUAUCUUCAGGCCGAAGACUUUGUCAUCAAGGUCCGCUCAUUGCAGGCACUGGGCUAUGUUUUUAUUGCUCGCCCUGAAUGCAUGCUGGAAAAGGAUGUA